Scylla paramamosain (green mud crab) is the source of this 1531-nucleotide long non-coding RNA. RefSeq lists it as uncharacterized. Lineage: Eukaryota; Metazoa; Arthropoda; Malacostraca; Decapoda; Portunidae. The record is from RefSeq and is a predicted model, not a curated record. The transcript has 3 exons.
UAUUGAAAAUAUUAUCAAUAAGAUUUAUCAGCAUUUUCAUAUCUACACAGUUCGCUCUGAAAAACUAAAGGAGUAUUGUGAAUUUGCUGAGGUUGAGUACAGGAAGCUUCUCUCUCAUAGUAAGAGUCGUUGGCUGUCACUAUUUCCUGGCAUCACAAGGCUGAUAGAGAUGUUUCCUGCUCUUAAGUCCUUUCUUUCACAAGAGCAACCACCAACAGUAAUAAAAAAAUUCUUUGAAAAUGAAAUGAGUGAGAUUUACCUCUGGCACAUGCACUCUUUAAUGGCUGUAUUUCACACACACGUUCAAACAAUUGAAAAGGAAAGUAACUCUGUUGUAGAAGUGCUGACAAAUUUGGAGUCUGUGUGUAAAGUACUUGCACAAAGAAAGAACCAGCAUUUCAUGUCUUUAAAAGUUAAAGGACUAAUUACUCAGAAGCGCACAGAAGGAAAAGAAGAAGAGUGUAACAGGUUCUGUGUUGAAGUAGUUAACCUGUACAACAGAUGCUCAGAGUACUUAGCUAAGUGGAUGAAACCACUGGAAGAGUUCUCUUGUUUCAAGUGGAUGGUCUUGAGUGAAAUGCCAAACUGGACUGAUGUGGAACCUUGUGUUGUAUACUUGAUAGACAAGGGAAUAGAGCUUGAUGAUGUAAAGUGCUUUGACCAAGUUUGUAACUUGAGGCAGUUUGUAGAAAGGAACAAGAAUGAUGAAGACUUCAGUAAAUUACCAGCACAUAAAAAAUGGACCAGAUACUUUGAAGCAUCAAAGAAUAUUGAAUGCCACUCAGAACUGCUCAGAAUUGCACAAUUCUUUUUUGCUGUAACAUCCCACAAUGCUAAUGUGGAGCGAGUCUUUUCGCUGAUGCAAAGUCAGCGGACGAAGGAAAGGAACAAGCUGAGUGUUGAUACAAUGAAAGGUAUUCUGACUGUACAGUACAACUACCGAGAGACCUCUUGCGUUGACUUCCUCAACUUUUUAAAGUCCAACAAGGAACUACUUAAAAAUAUAAGAUCUACAGAAAAAUAUGUAUCGGCACAUCAAGCAACACACGCAGUGGUUGAAGAAGAGUUAGAAGACACCAACUAAGCUAAGUGGAAAAACGGAAUUCAAGAUUAUCAGCCAUAUGCAAAGGUGAUUGCAGUGGCUCCAAGUCUUGGGAAAACCAUGUGUGGAGCACAAGCAGUCUGUCCACACUGAAAAUUUUGAGCUCAAGCAUACCAGCAGCACAACACAUCUGCUGAACAAUGCAGCUCCAAUUCCUGCAGAUAAACGAACUUCAGGCACAUACCACAGAGCAUUUCUGUGACUACACAACUGUGUUAUAACUGACUGAAUUGUGGUAAAGUGGCUUACAGCAGGAAAGGAAACACAACCGGCACAUCUGAGUCAAGCAUGUUAACCGAUGUGAUGAGCAAUGUGAACAAGUAUUUUAAGAUGUUUUUGGCAAGGAAAAGAUGUGGUGGGAAUAAUGACUGUAUAUAAGGUUUAUAAUUACUGUUAAUCACUUACUUGAAGAGGACAGUUGUUGUGGGU